CCUACGGGAGGCAGCAGUGGGGAAUAUUCCACAAUGGGGGAAACCCUGAUGCAGCGACGCCGCGUGCGCGAAGAAGUAUUUCGGAUUGUAAAGCUCUAUCAGCAGGGAAGAACAUGACGAUAACUGACUAAGAAGCUCCGGCUAAAUACGUGCCAGCAGCCGCGGUAAUACGUAUGGAGCACGCGCUCUCCGGUUUUACUGGGUGAAAAGGGAGCGUAGGCGGUAAGGCAAGUAUGAUGUGAAGGGCCAGGGCUCAAACCUGGGACUGCAUUGGAAACUGGUUAACUGGAGUGUCGGAGAGGCAAGUGGAAUUCCUAGUGAAGCGGUGAAAUGCGUAGAUAUUAGGAGGAACACCAGUGGCGAAGGCGGCUUGCUGGACGAUUACUGACGCGGAGGCUCGAAAGCGUGGGGAGCAAACAGGAUUAGAUACCCUAGUAGUC
Molecule: ribosomal RNA, 440 nt
Filed under: uncultured bacterium
Lineage: Bacteria
Description: partial 16S ribosomal RNA
Rfam family: Bacterial small subunit ribosomal RNA
Source: RNAcentral